UUCCUGUGGUUGAGGUUUACAACGGCGGCAUUUCAGGCGCAUAGCUUGGAGAGAGGCCAAGCAGGAAC
This 68-nucleotide transfer RNA is filed under the name Sula sula rubripes. RNAcentral's name for it is "tRNA-Glu". Lineage: Eukaryota; Metazoa; Chordata; Aves; Suliformes; Sulidae. The record is from RNAcentral.